UCCAUUUACUUACAUAGUAUGAACACGAUGCACGCCCAACUUACUUAGGUGGUUCUUGUCCAAUAAUAUCCUCAAAAUUCUGCAAAAGAUAAGAUCCAAUUCAAUACUUAUCUGUUACCAUUCCAUUUCAUCCAAUACUAUGUGUGCUAAUUAGCAUUUUUUUUUCUUCUUAUUUGAUCGUAAAUUUUUUUAUAUUUCUCUGCAUUUAUCGGUUGAACUAAAUUGAAAGACUACUCAUUAACACACUUAUAUCUCCAACAACACUAUAUAAUUAAUAUUGAAAUUAAUCCUUUAGAACAACUGAAACACAGUAACAAUUAUUCAAAAACUCACUUCAUUUCCAUCCCCCAAAUUUCGUGUAACUGCUUCUAGUAUUUCCUAAUUAAUUUGCCACCUACUUCUAAUCUCUAAUUUAUCUUAUGUCGGUACCAUUGGUUCUUGGGGUUAAUAGCUUCAAUUUUUACGAUGAAUGAAUAUUAUUUGGCCAAAUCACAUUUUGUUAUGGCUAGUAAAUAUUCUGAAGCAGACAAUGUUGGGGUCAUUGAGUGUAUGAACUAGAUAACUUCGAAUUUUGGAACCCAAUUGUUCUUGCUGUUAGAAUUUUAGAACUAUUUCUUUUAAGGGAGGGUUUAUCUCACUCCUAACAUUUUAUAAGUUUCUAAAUUUUUAUUUUUAUUUUAUUUUAAUUAUCUACAAAUUAAUCAAUUCAAGUUUAUUUGAAUUGAAUUAAGAUAUGUCAAUAUUAAUUUAUAAUUUUUCUAAUUUUUUUUAUAUAUUUAGAUCAAAAAUAUUAAUUUAUAAAUUUAUUUUCACUUUUAAACCAAUUUAAAGGUUUAAAAAAUCUUACAAAUUUUCAAAUUAGUAUAUAUAUUUGAAUUGAUGAAUAUGAACAAAUGUCAUGAUUGGUUAAUCAGAAUAAAUUGAAAAUUGACAAAAACAAAUAGAUUUUAAAAGAUUUUUGAGAAUGUGAGGUGAAAAUUUUCUUUUAAUCUAUAUUAGUAAGAAUAGUAAUAGAGUGGCCCAUUUCUUAGCAAAUGAGGCCCAAUAUACUCACAACCAGUUUGGAUUGCCGUUUUAUCCUUCCAAUUUGACUUCUUGAGGAUUUUCCUUCCUCUCUUUGUUGUGUUCUUUAAUUGAAUUUAUUUUCAUUUUAAAAAGAAUACAUGAGCUCCUUAAUUCAUCAAGUUCAGCCAUCAAAUUGACUUUAUAUCCAACAAAUUGAUUUGAUGUAUUGUUCAUCAAAUCUCCCUAUUACUAAAGACUUUCCAAUCAUGAAAUGAAUGUUUGGUUUUAUGGUUUUAUCAAUUGGCAAAAUCAGAGAUUUUGUCAAUCUCAUCGUGAAAUAAUUCCUAUAAGAGGAGUAAAAUUUGACAGAAACCUG
Molecule: long non-coding RNA, 1381 nt
Filed under: Cicer arietinum (chickpea)
Lineage: Eukaryota; Viridiplantae; Streptophyta; Magnoliopsida; Fabales; Fabaceae
Description: long non-coding RNA (CARI_LNC000760)
Source: RNAcentral